CACGCGAGUGACUGAGUCGGCGGAGGGUGAGUAAUGUCUGGGAAACUGCCUGAUGGAGGGGGAUAACUACUGGAAACGGUAGCUAAUACCGCAUAACGUCGCAAGACCAAAGAGGGGGACCUUCGGGCCUCUUGCCAUCAGAUGUGCCCAGAUGGGAUUAGCUAGUAGGUGGGGUAAUGGCUCACCUAGGCGACGAUCCCUAGCUGGUCUGAGAGGAUGACCAGCCACACUGGAACUGAGACACGGUCCAGACUCCUACGGGAGGCAGCAGUGGGGAAUAUUGCACAAUGGGCGCAAGCCUGAUGCAGCCAUGCCGCGUGUGUGAAGAAGGCCUUCGGGUUGUAAAGCACUUUCAGCGAGGAGGAAGGUGGUGAGCUUAAUACGCUCAUCAAUUGACGUUACUCGCAGAAGAAGCACCGGCUAACUCCGUGCCAGCAGCCGCGGUAAUACGGAGGGUGCAAGCGUUAAUCGGAAUUACUGGGCGUAAAGCGCACGCAGGCGGUUUGUUAAGUCAGAUGUGAAAUCCCCGGGCUCAACCUGGGAACUGCAUUUGAAACUGGCAAGCUAGAGUCUCGUAGAGGGGGGUAGAAUUCCAGGUGUAGCGGUGAAAUGCGUAGAGAUCUGGAGGAAUACCGGUGGCGAAGGCGGCCCCCUGGACGAAGACUGACGCUCAGGUGCGAAAGCGUGGGGAGCAAACAGGAUUAGAUACCCGGGUAGUCCACGCUGUAAACGAUGUCGAUUUGGAGGUUGUGCCCUUGAGGCGUGGCUUCCGGAGCUAACGCGUUAAAUCGACCGCCUGGGGGAGUACGGCCGCAAGGUUAAAAACUCAAAUGAAUUGACGGGGGCCCGCAAAAGCGGUGGAGCAGGUGGUUU
This 873-nucleotide ribosomal RNA is filed under the name Serratia marcescens. Its description in RNAcentral is "bacterial SSU rRNA". It matches the Rfam family "Bacterial small subunit ribosomal RNA", at positions 76 to 947 of the family's 1533-position model. The record is from RNAcentral. Lineage: Bacteria; Pseudomonadati; Pseudomonadota; Gammaproteobacteria; Enterobacterales; Yersiniaceae.